GAUGAACGCUGGCGGCGUGCUUAACACAUGCAAGUCGAACGGGAAACCUUUUAUUGAAGCUUCGGCAGAUUUAGCUGGUUUCUAGUGGCGGACGGGUGAGUAACGCGUGGGUAACCUGCCUUAUACAGGGGGAUAACAACCAGAAAUGGUUGCUAAUACCGCAUAAGCGCACAGGACCGCAUGGUCCGGUGUGAAAAACUCCGGUGGUAUAAGAUGGACCCGCGUUGGAUUAGCUAGUUGGCAGGGUAACGGCCUACCAAGGCGACGAUCCAUAGCCGGCCUGAGAGGGUGAACGGCCACAUUGGGACGGAGACACGGCCCAGACUCCUACGGGAGGCAGCAGUGGGGAAUAUUGCACAAUGGGGGAAACCCUGAUGCAGCGACGCCGCGUGAAGGAAGAAGUAUCUCGGUAUGUAAACUUCUAUCAGCAGGGAAGAUAGUGACGGUACCUGACUAAGAAGCCCCGGCUAACUACGUG
This 478-nucleotide ribosomal RNA is filed under the name uncultured bacterium. Its description in RNAcentral is "partial 16S ribosomal RNA". It matches the Rfam family "Bacterial small subunit ribosomal RNA", at positions 28 to 507 of the family's 1533-position model. The record is from RNAcentral.